GCAAGUCGAGCGGAGAGAGGUAGCUUGCUACUGAUCUUAGCGGCGGACGGGUGAGUAAUGCUUAGGAAUCUGCCUAUUAGUGGGGGACAACAUCUCGAAAGGGAUGCUAAUACCGCAUACGUCCUACGGGAGAAAGCAGGGGAUCUUCGGACCUUGCGCUAAUAGAUGAGCCUAAGUCGGAUUAGCUAGUUGGUGGGGUAAAGGCCUACCAAGGCGACGAUCUGUAGCGGGUCUGAGAGGAUGAUCCGCCACACUGGGACUGAGACACGGCCCAGACUCCUACGGGAGGCAGCAGUGGGGAAUAUUGGACAAUGGGGGGAACCCUGAUCCAGCCAUGCCGCGUGUGUGAAGAAGGCCUUAUGGUUGUAAAGCACUUUAAGCGAGGAGGAGGCUACUUUAGUUAAUACCUAGAGAUAGUGGACGUUACUCGCAGAAUAAGCACCGGCUAACUCUGUGCCAGCAGCCGCGGUAAUACAGAGGGUGCAAGCGUUAAUCGGAUUUACUGGGCGUAAAGCGCGCGUAGGCGGCUAAUUAAGUCAAAUGUGAAAUCCCCGAGCUUAACUUGGGAAUUGCAUUCGAUACUGGUUAGCUAGAGUGUGGGAGAGGAUGGUAGAAUUCCAGGUGUAGCGGUGAAAUGCGUAGAGAUCUGGAGGAAUACCGAUGGCGAAGGCAGCCAUCUGGCCUAACACUGACGCUGAGGUGCGAAAGCAUGGGGAGCAAACAGGAUUAGAUACCCUGGUAGUCCAUGCCGUAAACGAUGUCUACUAGCCGUUGGGGCCUUUGAGGCUUUAGUGGCGCAGCUAACGCGAUAAGUAGACCGCCUGGGGAGUACGGUCGCAAGACUAAAACUCAAAUGAAUUGACGGGGGCCCGCACAAGCGGUGGAGCAUGUGGUUUAAUUCGAUGCAACGCGAAGAACCUUACCUGGCCUUGACAUAGUAAGAACUUUCCAGAGAUGGAUUGGUGCCUUCGGGAACUUACAUACAGGUGCUGCAUGGCUGUCGUCA
RNAcentral lists this ribosomal RNA (1006 nucleotides) under Acinetobacter seifertii. Its description in RNAcentral is "bacterial SSU rRNA". It matches the Rfam family "Bacterial small subunit ribosomal RNA", at positions 57 to 1057 of the family's 1533-position model. The record is from RNAcentral. Lineage: Bacteria; Pseudomonadati; Pseudomonadota; Gammaproteobacteria; Moraxellales; Moraxellaceae.